AUGGGGGUCGCCUCUCCCUCGCCGCCGCCGCCCGCCGCCGCCGCCGCCAACCAAGCUCGGCCGCCGGAUCCACCAAUCCCCACCCCACCCCCUCCUCCAACAGAAGGAGGAGGAGGCAUGGCGGUCGCCCCUCCUUCGUCGCCGCCUCCCGCCGUCGCCGCCGCCGUUGCCGCCGGCAGCCCGAACCCGACCUCCACUGAGGGCCAAGGAAAGAUGCUGGUCGCCUCUCCUUCGUCGCCGUCGCCCGCCGCCGCCGGCAGCCAGCACCCGCCCUACCCCGAGAUGAUUAAGCAGGCGCUGACGGAGCUGGGAGGCACCUCCGGCCGCAUCGCCAUCGCCGCUUUCAUCCUCGGCCGCUUCAAGGCCGCCCACGACGAGCUCCUCAGGACCCACCUCCGCCGCCUCGUCUCCCAAGGCGUCGUCCGCGGCUACGGAUCAGAAGCCAGAGCUUGCUACGUCUUCCCCGCCUCCUACACCAAAACUCGCGGCCGGCCCCGCAAGCGCAAGCUGCUCCGCCUCCCCGCGCCGCCGACCCUCCCCCUCCCACUCCCCGCGCCGCCAACCAACGAGGAAAAUUUGGAUCUCAGUUUGGAUACAUCUGGAGGAUUACGGAGCAGACGUGGCCGGCCCCUCUUGCCGGCACUCCCUGCGCCCAAGAAUUUGUCAUCGGAUCUCAGUUUGGUUCCUCAUCAAUCUGGAGGGUCACAGAUUAGCAGUGAUGAUGAUGAUUACUCCACUUCCAGUGAUGAUGAUGAUGAUGAAGAUGAAGGUGAAGAUGACUACAGCAGUGGUGAUGACAACGAUGAUGAAUACACUCCUGCGCGUGCAUAUGCUUUGCUCGUCCAUGGAGCAAAGCGCCCACGGAAGCGCAAGCGCAAGAGGGGGCCAGAUCGUCGUCGUAAGCUUCUGCUGUCCGCGAAUUCCUCAGUCACCAAGAAAGGAAGUGGGAGGCCAAGGAAGAAGCAGAAACUUGGCUUGUCACAGGCUGCUUUCCAGAAUGGAACCCCAGGAGGUGGAGGUGGUUUCUCGACGCCCAAGAGAGGGCGUGGGAGGCCGCGAAAGGAUGCACAAGGGCUCUCAACCGGUGUCAAGAGAGGCCGUGGGAGACCCAGAAAGGAUGCACAAGGGCUGACAACCGGUGUCAAGAAAGGCCGUGGCAGACCCAGAAAGGAUGCACAAGGGCUGUCAAACGGUGUCAAGAAAGGCCAUGGCAGACCGAGAAAGGAGUCAGAAGGAAUGUCAGCGGGUGUCAAGAGUGGCCGUGGGAGGCCGAGAAAGGAGCCAGAAGAUGGUGUUCCAGAAGCAGACUCUUCUUCUGAAACUGAAUCAGACGCAGAGUCAGACUCUUCUCUAACUGGGUCAGACACAGAGUCAGACUCUCCAAAUGUAUCCAGGUGGUUGAAGGAAGGGUUUGGGAAUCCAGCAACAAUAGCGACGCCGACAGCAGCAGUCAGGCCUGUGUCGAGGGGGCUGAAUAUAGGGUCUCUGAGGCCAACAAUAGAGUCUCCUGGAACUGUUGUUUACUCUGCUGCCGCUGCGUCCACGGGAAUGAAGAAACCGCUUGGGAGGCCAAGAAAGAAGGGAUCAUCAAAAGCAGUGUCCGCCAAAACUGGAGAUGGAGCGCCUGCUGAGGCUGGAGGUGGUGCGUCCACGGGGAUCAAGAAACCGCGUGGGAGACCGAGAAAGGAGAGACCACCAGAAGCAAUGUCCACUGAAGCUGGAGAUGCAGCAGCGCCUGCUCCUGAAACUGGAAAUGCAGCAGCGCCUGCUUCUGAAACUGGAAAUGCAGCAGCGCCUGCUCCAGAAGCUGGAGAUGCAACUCCUGCUCUUGAAACCGGAGAUGCAACUCCUGCUCCGCCUGCUGAAACUGGAGCACCAGCACCUGCUCCUGAAGCUGGAGAUGCAGUGCCUGCCCCUGAAACUGGAGAUGUGACGCCUGCUUCUGAAACUAGAGAUGCAGCAGCAGCAUCUGCUCCUGAAACUGGAGAUGCGGCGCCUGCUUCUGAAACAGCAGCACCUGCUCCUGAAGUUGGAGAUGCACCGCCUGCUCCUGAUGAAAAUGGAGCAGCAACGCCUGCCAAAACUGGAGAUGGUGCGUCGACGGGAAUCAAGAAACCGCGUGGGAGGCCGAGAAAAGAGAGACCGCCAGAAGAAAUGUCUCCAGAAACUGGAGAUGCAAUGCCUGCUCCUGAAACUCGAGAUGCAGCGCCUGAUGAAAAUGAAGCAGCAACGCCUGCUGAAGCUGGAGAUGCUGCUUCAACUGGAUUCAAGAAACCGUGUGGGAGGCCGAGAAAGGAGAGACCACAAGCAUCAAUCCCUGCUGAAACUGAAGAUGCAACCCCUGCUGAGACUGGUGAUGCAAGGCCUGCUGAAACUGGAGCAGCAACGCCUGCUGAAGCUGGAGCAGCAACGCCCGCUGAAGCUGGAAAUGCUGCAUCGACAGGGAUCAAGAGACCGCUUGGAAGGCCUAGAAAGGUGAAGAAGCUUGGGAGGCCAAGAAAGGAGAAGCCAGAAGAAGCAGCAAUAUCUGGUGAAACUGGAGAUGAUGCUGCAGCAGCUAUAUUUGCUGAAUAUGGAGCAGCAACGCCCGGUGAAAAAGCUGGAGAUUCUGCAUCGGCGGGCAUCAAGAGAGGGCGCGGGAGGCCAAGGAAGGAGAGGCCGGAGACAGCGAUUUCUGCUGAAAGUGGAGACGCCAAAACAGAAACAAAAACGAAGAAGCCAAAAGUAGCAAGGCCAGCUGGAGAUGGUGAGAUCAAGAGAGGGCUCGGGAGGCCAAGAAAGGUGAAACGUGGGAGGCCAAAAAAGGAGAAUCCAGCAUCAGACGACGGCAUGUCAACGGGAAUUAAGGGACCGCUUGAGUCCCCGAGAUCAUAUUAUGCAUUGUCUGGUGGAGCUGGAAAAGCCGUGUCAACAGGAAGCAAGAUUGCGCCGGAGAGUCCAAGGACGGCGGAGAAGCCAUCGGCAGGCGACAUCGUGUCGAUGGUGAUGAAGAGGAGGCGUGCGAUGCCAAGGAGCGACCAACAGCCCUCUGAAGCUGGGCGCGUAAAAGCUUCUGGUGGGAUUUUUGGAUACGUGCGAGAAUCCAGUGGUAAACAAGAGAAGGAGAAGGAGGGCCUGGCAUCAUCUGGGGAGGGGGAGAAAACACAGAGCAAAGAAGGUGUGGUGGUGGCGGCUGCUUCAGGGGGUGGUGAGGAAACUGGGGUUGCUGCAGAUGCGCCGGUUUCUGCAGAGCAGGCAAAAGCGGGUGGUGCUGCUGUUGUUGUGGAAACCGGAGGUGUGACUGAAUCUUCUUCUGAUAAGCUGGGCUCUUCUGCUGCAGAGAAGGCGGCGAGUGCUCCUCCGCGUGUCGAGGCUGUAGGAGGUGCGACUGAAUCUUCUUCUGAGAAGCUGGGCUCUUCUGCUGCAGAGAAGGUAGCGAGUGCUCCUCAUCGGCAUGUCGAGGCUGUAGGAGGUGCAACUGACUCUUCUUCUGAGAAGCUGGGCUCUUCUGCUGCAGAGAAGGUAGCGAGUGCUCCUCCUCGGCAUGUCGAGGCUGUAGGAGACGCAACUGACUCUUCUAAUAAGAAUGGUUGUGCAGCAGCAGAAGCGAGUGGUACAGAGAAUGUGGAGAAGGUUGAAUCUGAUAAGAAACUGGGGAGCUCUGCAGCAGGGACUGCUCCUGUGGAGGGGGAGGGUGGAGAAGACAAGCUGGGAUCUGCAGAAAGAUGUGUGGUUAGUUGA
RNAcentral lists this ribosomal RNA (3720 nucleotides) under Triticum aestivum (bread wheat). RNAcentral describes it as "partial small subunit ribosomal RNA". Lineage: Eukaryota; Viridiplantae; Streptophyta; Magnoliopsida; Poales; Poaceae. The record is from RNAcentral.